Long non-coding RNA from Myotis brandtii (Brandt's bat), 496 nucleotides. RefSeq lists it as uncharacterized. Lineage: Eukaryota; Metazoa; Chordata; Mammalia; Chiroptera; Vespertilionidae. The transcript has 4 exons. The record is from RefSeq and is a predicted model, not a curated record.
GACAGCGCCCGUCCUUCCUCAGAGCUGGGCCUUAGCUCACGUGCUCUGCUGCUCCCGGGGACCUGAGAGGGAAGACCCAGGCGGGGGCCGUGCCCAAGUGGAGGCCUCGCCGGGCAGGCUCCUGGAGGAGCCCUGGUAUCCCUUGAACAUGCAUACCUUUCCCAGAGAGAGGGACAUGGACCGCGCUGUGCGAGGGACCCCGUCUUCUGCAACAGGAGGGAACAGAGAGGAGAGCUCAGGAAUGAGCUGCCUGCUAGGAACACACAUUCAUUCUGCUGUGCUUCACCUGCUCCAAGAUUGAAAGGAACCUGCCUCCAGCAGAGGGCACUGGAGAGGGCCGGGGGUGAUAUUAGACUGACUUCUCAACAAGCCUUAGAACUUAAUCAAAGGAGGGAGGUGAUGUUCACUGGGCCUCCUUACUACCCCACCAGGCACCAAUGGCCAAUCAUCUAAAGAAUAAGUCUGCCACUCUCCUUGGAGCAUUAAAUGGAGGUGA